UUCUUCCUACCUCUAUCUCAGGAUGUAGCUUAUUCUUCCCAUCUUGUCUCCCUGGCUCUGGCUCCAGGAGCCCAGGGCACUGUGCGCAGCACCCCACGUGGCCACGAGGGGGCGAAACAAGGACACCACCUUUCUCACUUGGAGCAGUGGCAAUCCCAAAGCUGGAGCAAAUCCCGAUUUGACAGGCAGCUGAGAGCCGUGUAGAAUGCCAGGAGACACAAACCUGAAGACGAACCUGCCCCAAUAGAUGAGGGCCUGUGGAGCUACUGACCAGGAGAAAAUCCUGGGACAGGAUUCAGGGGAAAGGACUCCUCCCUGAGAAGACAGCCCAGGUGGUUCCAUGGUGUAAUGGCUGAACUUGUGUAAAUUCCUGGAAAUUAUGACAUCUUCGUUUGUGCAGUUGCCGGAUGUGCUCAUGUUGCUGAUUCAGUUGUGAUGACAGAAAGUGUCUUUCCUCUCUUCCGUGUAGUAUAUGCCAUCCCUGCAGAUGCUGACAGCUCCUGGGCCUAUAAGAUUUUUACCAAGUAUUGGAAGGACAAGAUGUGAACCAAUUCUUGUUGCUGGAGUCUUAAAGACAAGAAAUACCAGAAUGCUCAGGAUACUAGGUAAUAGAAAAAGAGUCACAGAUGAAGUGAGCUAUCACCUACCACCAAACGGGGAGUGGAUCCCUGCCAACCACCACCCAAUGGAGAGUGUCCCCAGAAGCCCACUCCAGAACAUCAAAACCGGAAACCCACGUGGCUGCCACUGAUGGGAUAAAUAAUGGUGCAGCAACAGGAGAGAGGACGAAAGGCGUGUCCAGGAAGCAUAUGUAGUAUGCACAGCCACAGGGUUCAACUUCCGCUCAUGAGACGCAACAGAACUGAAUGAACGUGAGUCACUCACAAGGUCUGAGGUCCAGUCUGAAGGAGGUGCCUGACACGUGCAAGAUUCUACUAGGUUCAGUGAUGUGUCUCAGAUGGGUUUGUUUUAUGGACACAGCCCCUCCAAACUCCCACAACAAUCUGUUCGGACACAACAGAGAAAUUGUUUUUAUCAAAUGAAAGCAGAAACAUUUAUACAGAACAAAAGGAGGAGUAGAAAAUGAUUUUCUCCCCUUGGAUAAGCAGCUUUGUGGGAAGCUAAGAAAGAGGUCACUCUGGCCAGACCUCUCUGAACCCACUUGACUAAUUCGCCAUAGAAGACCAAGUACAGUUAUUAUUUUUUUAACAAGUACAGUUUCUAAGGACUUUAAAUCAUCCCCAGUUCAGCUGUCCAGCAGAUGCAGGAGAGGACCUGUGUGCCAUGUCCAGAGGGCCCACGGUGCUGGGCCUCUCCCCCAGUAACCCAGGAGGGCACCUCCCCUAUCGGAAUAUCAGAGACGGACGCAGGAACUGUGCUGUGCUGGCCAGGAGACUAAGAAGCGACACUGAUAGAGCUGGGAAAGGGAUGGGUAGAUGACAGGGUACCACUUCCGUGGAAGGUAACUUGGCAGAAUCCACUAAAACUGGAAAGAUCAUCGACAGCGGAGCAGCAAGUCUACAUUCAGUUCUCUGCACUCCAGAAACCCCUGCACGGCUAACAAAGAUGCGUGCGCAAGAAUGACGACUGCGGCGCUGUCUAAUAAAAACUGCGAAGCCUGCUUUCAAAGACACUUUGUAAAGGGUGUAUAAAUAAUGCACAAACUAAGGAUGAGGGUUUUUUGUUGUUGUUUUAAGGUUUUUGCCUUAUUGUGCUCACAGGAGAGGAGAGAGACAGUGAGAGGG
Long non-coding RNA from Tupaia belangeri chinensis (Chinese tree shrew), 1745 nucleotides. RefSeq lists it as uncharacterized. The record is from RefSeq and is a predicted model, not a curated record. NCBI's taxonomy places the organism in Eukaryota, Metazoa, Chordata, Mammalia, Scandentia, Tupaiidae. The transcript has 4 exons.